RNAcentral lists this small RNA (29 nucleotides) under Bombyx mori (domestic silkworm). RNAcentral describes it as "ovarian small RNA-37944". Lineage: Eukaryota; Metazoa; Arthropoda; Insecta; Lepidoptera; Bombycidae. The record is from RNAcentral.
UUGCUUAAAUUGGAAUAUUUUUUAAUGUU